GCCUGGCUGGCUCAGUGGGUAGAGCAUGUGACUCAUAACCUUAGGGCUGUGAGUUUGAGCCCCACAUUGGGUG
Molecule: transfer RNA, 73 nt
Filed under: Canis lupus familiaris (dog)
Lineage: Eukaryota; Metazoa; Chordata; Mammalia; Carnivora; Canidae
Also listed under: 2 other names
Rfam family: tRNA
About the family: Transfer RNA (tRNA) molecules are approximately 80 nucleotides in length. Their secondary structure includes four short double-helical elements and three loops (D, anti-codon, and T loops). Further hydrogen bonds mediate the characteristic L-shaped molecular structure. tRNAs have two regions of fundamental functional importance: the anti-codon, which is responsible for specific mRNA codon recognition, and the 3' end, to which the tRNAs corresponding amino acid is attached (by aminoacyl-tRNA synthetases). tRNAs cope with the degeneracy of the genetic code in two manners: having more than one tRNA (with a specific anti-codon) for a particular amino acid; and 'wobble' base-pairing, i.e. permitting non-standard base-pairing at the 3rd anti-codon position.
Source: Rfam by way of RNAcentral